RNAcentral lists this ribosomal RNA (952 nucleotides) under Kocuria palustris. RNAcentral's name for it is "bacterial SSU rRNA". It matches the Rfam family "Bacterial small subunit ribosomal RNA", at positions 482 to 1428 of the family's 1533-position model. Lineage: Bacteria; Bacillati; Actinomycetota; Actinomycetes; Micrococcales; Micrococcaceae. The record is from RNAcentral.
CAGAAGAAGCGCCNGNCUAACUACGUGCCAGCAGCCGCGGUAAUACGUAGGGCGCAAGCGUUGUCCGGNAAUUAUUGGGCGUAAAGAGCUCGUAGGCGGUUUGUCGCGUCUGCUGUGAAAGCCCGGGGCUUAACCCCGGGUGUGCAGUGGGUACGGGCAGACUAGAGUGCAGUAGGGGAGACUGGAAUUCCUGGUGUAGCGGUGGAAUGCGCAGAUAUCAGGAGGAACACCGAUGGCGAAGGCAGGUCUCUGGGCUGUUACUGACGCUGAGGAGCGAAAGCAUGGGGAGCGAACAGGAUUAGAUACCCUGGUAGUCCAUGCCGUAAACGUUGGGCACUAGGUGUGGGGGACAUUCCACGUUUUCCGCGCCGUAGCUAACGCAUUAAGUGCCCCGCCUGGGGAGUACGGCCGCAAGGCUAAAACUCAAAGGAAUUGACGGGGGCCCGCACAAGCGGCGGAGCAUGCGGAUUAAUUCGAUGCAACGCGAAGAACCUUACCAAGGCUUGACAUAUACCGGAUCGUUCCAGAGAUGGUUCUUCCCCUUUGGGGUCGGUAUACAGGUGGUGCAUGGUUGUCGUCAGCUCGUGUCGUGAGAUGUUGGGUUAAGUCCCGCAACGAGCGCAACCCUCGUUCCAUGUUGCCAGCACGUGAUGGUGGGGACUCAUGGGAGACUGCCGGGGUCAACUCGGAGGAAGGUGGGGAUGACGUCAAAUCAUCAUGCCCCUUAUGUCUUGGGCUUCACGCAUGCUACAAUGGCCGGUACAAAGGGUUGCGAUACUGUGAGGUGGAGCUAAUCCCAAAAAGCCGGUCUCAGUUCGGAUUGAGGUCUGCAACUCGACCUCAUGAAGUCGGAGUCGCUAGUAAUCGCAGAUCAGCAACGCUGCGGUGAAUACGUUCCCGGGCCUUGUACACACCGCCCGUCAAGUCACGAAAGUCGGUAACACCCGAAGCC